Molecule: ribosomal RNA, 443 nt
Filed under: uncultured bacterium
Lineage: Bacteria
Description: partial 16S ribosomal RNA
Rfam family: Bacterial small subunit ribosomal RNA
Source: RNAcentral
CCUACGGGAGGCAGCAGUGGGGAAUAUUGGGCAAUGGGCGCAAGCCUGACCCAGCAACGCCGCGUGAAUGAAGAAGGCUUUCGGGUUGUAAACUUCUUUUCUGAGGGACGAAGAAAGUGACGGUACCUCAGUAAUAAGCCACGGCUAACUACGUGCCAGCAGCCGCGGUAAUACGGAGGUGGCAAGCGUUAUCCGGAUUUGUUGGGUGUAAAGGGAGUGUAGGCGGGAAAGCAAGUCAGAUGUGAAAACUCAGGGCUCAACCCUGAGCCUGCAUUUGAAACUGUUUGUCUUGAGUGCUGGAGAGGCAAUCGGAAUUCCGGGUGUAGCGGUGAAAUGCGUAGAUAUACGGAGGAACACCAGUGGCGAAGGCGGAUUGCUGGACAGUAACUGACGCUGAGGCGCGAAAGCGUGGGGAGCAAACAGGAUUAGAUACCCGGGUAGUC